AGCAGUGAUCAAAGAGAGCAAGCCUUACACGGCGAUAAGAGUUUUGAUCUCUGAUAGCCAAGGAUGACUUGCCUGUGUGCUCUUGCACCGUCAAGGCUUGGCCUUGGUGUAUCUCUCACUCACAGGCAGUCUCCUUGGCUAGGCUGAGUGGCUCUUAUUGCUCAUGUUAGGCUAAAUUGCAUCUCUUAAUCCAUUACAUUUGCAGACAGUAUUCUCUUGUCCUCAAUAUAAUUGGUGUGUUAUGCUUGCAUCAAGUUAACCAUGACUUAAUCUUAUGAAUAUCUCUGCAGUUUUUAUUGGGUUUUCAUCUCUGGCAUACUUCUGAAGUUGUGAUGGAGUUUUAUGUAGACGUAUCACAUAUCAGCAUUUUAAAACGUCGAUGACUAGAUUGAGGAAGAAGCGAAGGCACCGGACUGUUUUGCUGCAGUUUUCAAGAAGUUUUAGCCCUUGAUAGAUACUACUGUGGAGUUCGCUCAGGUUAUGAGACAGGAUGUGGAGUACGCGGUUUGGCGGCUCAAAGAGAUCCUCUCGUUGGACCACUGAGCUUCUCGCAGCCGCAGAUGAUUAUAACAUGCUUCGAUAUGAGUGAUCGAAUAUCUAUCUCUUUCCCAAAAAAUGUGUCUUUGUAGAAUUAUCACAGUGGGUUUUCACAUAAUUAUUUCUCUAACAUAUACCAGAGAAUAAUGGUCAAACAUG
Lolium perenne is the source of this 696-nucleotide non-coding RNA. Lineage: Eukaryota; Viridiplantae; Streptophyta; Magnoliopsida; Poales; Poaceae. The record is from RefSeq and is a predicted model, not a curated record.